UACGUAGGGGCCGAGCGUUGUCCGGAGUUACUGGGCGUAAAGCGCGCGCAGGCGGCUCGUCAAGCCUGACGUGAAAGCCCCCGGCUCAACCGGGGAGGGUCGUCGGGGACUGGCGAGCUUGAGGUCGGCAGGGGUUGGUGGAAUUCCCGGUGUAGUGGUGAAAUGCGUAGAGAUCGGGAGGAACACCCGUGGCGAAGGCGGCCAACUGGGCCGAACCUGACGCUGAGGCGCGAAGGCGUGGGGAGCGAACGGG
This 253-nucleotide ribosomal RNA is filed under the name uncultured bacterium. RNAcentral's name for it is "partial 16S ribosomal RNA". It matches the Rfam family "Bacterial small subunit ribosomal RNA", at positions 524 to 776 of the family's 1533-position model. The record is from RNAcentral.